GAUGAAGAACGUAGCGAAAUGCGAUAAGUAGUGUGAAUUGCAGAAUUACGUGAAUCAUCGAAUCUUUGAACGCAAAUUGCACUCUCUGGUAUUCCGGGGAGUAUGCCUGUUUGAGGGUCGCUUAAUAAACAUCGAUUUUCAUCGCUUUUUUUAAAGUGAUGUUUAUCGGAUUUGAGCCGUCUUUUUUAUAUAUAUAUUUAUUUAAGGAAGUGGCUUAAAAUUGAUUUUUCUGGUAUGAUCGGAAGCGUAUUUUAUGAUCAAUUUUUGGUUAAGGAAACGCAGACGUACCAAUCAUUCAUAUGAUGUAAUACGUUUGACUAUUGGAUUUAGUUCAUUCGUAUACGAUAUUUUUCAAAUUUUGACCUCAAAUCAGGUAAGAACACCCGCUGAACUUAAGCAUAUCAAUAAGCGGAGGA
RNAcentral lists this unclassified non-coding RNA (416 nucleotides) under soil metagenome. RNAcentral's name for it is "partial contains 5.8S ribosomal RNA, internal transcribed spacer 2, and large subunit ribosomal RNA". The stretch from base 1 to 120 matches the Rfam family "5.8S ribosomal RNA", at positions 35 to 154 of the family's 154-position model. The record is from RNAcentral.